Molecule: long non-coding RNA, 1067 nt
Filed under: Gallus gallus (chicken)
Lineage: Eukaryota; Metazoa; Chordata; Aves; Galliformes; Phasianidae
Description: lncRNA (ENSGALG00010001081.1)
Source: RNAcentral
CUAAUUUAUUGAUGCAGAUGGUCAAUGAAGAGACAAGGAAAUGCACUGUUGGACCUGCUAUUCAAAACCAUGGAAGAACUGAUUGAAGAUGUGAAGGCUAAGGGUACCCUUGGCUGCAGGAACUGAGACUAUGGAAUUGAAGAUUGUGAGAGAAGUGAGCAAGAUAAACAGCAGAGUUCCUUCCCUGGACUUCUGAAGAGCAAAUUUAGGUCUGUUCAGGGCGGCUUUCAUGGGAAACUGUUCAGCAGGGCAAAAGGCCUCAGGAUAGCUGGCUGAUCUUCAAGGACAACCUCCCCAGAACACAAGAACAGUGCACAAUGUUCAGAUUUGAGCAAGCAUGGCAGAAGGCCAACGUGGAUGAACAUGGAGCUCCUGCCUAAGCUCAAACGCAUGGCGAUAAAAGCACUGAGCUCUGUGGCUGAGUUCAAAGCUUUGCAUCAGUGGUUGGAGACAGCAGAAGGCAGGCUGCAGCCUGCAGCCACAGGGAGUCGUGCCCUGGAGAUGGGGACACAGCUCAUACCUCAUCAUCGUGGCCAGUGGGCAGUCAGCAGCUCAGCCUGGCCGCAUGGUCUCCAAAGCUGGGAAGGCAAACCGCAGCAAGCAGCUGGGCAAGCAGAAAAUACAACACAGCAAGGCUUCUUUUGACCUCCUUCUCACUCGCAUGCAAAGCUGCCUUUACCAGAAAAGUCCCUGGGACAGCGCUUCUUUGGCAGUAUUCUCUGAAUUCCUUGACAUACAACUGAAGUGCUGAGAAUACUACAAUAGUCAUUCAUCACAGUACAAAAGAAGCCAAGUCCAAGUCGUUACAGAAUGUAUCCAGCAGUUGCACUGGUACUGUUUUCACAAUACCAGGAUGGCUGAACUUCAGAGUGUUUGGCACCGCAGCCUGGAUGGAACUGCAGUGGACAUUGCACAGUGGUUCCAGUGUGCUCUCUGCUGGUGAUGCCAUUCCCCACUUUGGAAAAUGAUUGAUUCAUUAUUAUUAUUAAAACAAAACAACAACAACAAAACAAAAAGGAAAACAAAAACAACAAGACAAGGUUAAGUGUAUAAGUUGCUAAACUGCU